AUUCAGCUGAUGACUCCCAAAUAGGACUAAAAGCACGUCCUGGAU
Schistosoma haematobium is the source of this 45-nucleotide non-coding RNA. The record is from Rfam. Lineage: Eukaryota; Metazoa; Platyhelminthes; Trematoda; Strigeidida; Schistosomatidae.